UCCGGUUUGUCACCGGCAGUCUCCCUAGAGUGCCCUUGCGUAGCAACUAGGGACAAGGGUUGCGCUCGUUGCGGGACUUAACCCAACAUCUCACGACACGAGCUGACGACGGCCAUGCAGCACCCGUGUUCUGGCUCUCUUUCGAGCACUUUCACAUCUCUGCGAAAUUCCAGACAUGUCAAGGGUAGGUAAGGUUUUUCGCGUUGCAUCGAAUUAAACCACAUGCUCCACCGCUUGUGCGGGCCCCCGUCAAUUCCUUUGAGUUUCAACCUUGCGGUCGUACUCCCCAGGCGGGGUACUUCCUGCGUUAGCGCCGGCACCCAGAGGGUCGCUCCCCCAGGCACCUAGUACCCAUCGUUUACGGCGUGGACUAC
RNAcentral lists this unclassified non-coding RNA (374 nucleotides) under uncultured bacterium. Its description in RNAcentral is "contains 16S-23S intergenic spacer region". The record is from RNAcentral.